CUUUUUUUAUUGAUGGCAUAUUGUUCCUAUUAUCAGAUUGUAAAAGCGUGCGGGCAGGCAGGUGACAGUACCUACAGUUAAGAUGAAUCAGACACACAGCCCCGACACACAGAGGAAAAGUUGACACCAUUAAGGAGCGAAAGGCAAAAAAAGUUUCAACUUUAAGACAGUUCACGCACUUUGGGCGUUUGUCCCCCCACCAACUUAUCUUGUUUCAUGCAGCACACAACUAGAAAGCGGAGGGAAUAAAUACAUUUUCUAUUGUCACUACCCUGGCCGGGCCGGGCCAGUGUGCGGACGCGAUUCUUGGCACCAAGAACGCACCGGUGUGGCUCAGACGGGCGCCAGCCACCUAAAGGUGCACCUCUGAGGCUAAUCCCCCUGUAGGACACAAUUACUGGUAAACCCUCUGGACCAGUUUUGAAAAAUCCUAAUUUCCUCUAUAAGGAUUACAUUGUCAAUUUAGAAAAAUAAAACACUUAGUGUUUCAAUCUGACCGUUUAUCUUUUAUCUUAUAGGACAGUUUUUGAAAAUGUUGCAGAAACUUGAUUUGUACGGUAUGUUUC
This 566-nucleotide long non-coding RNA is filed under the name Lepisosteus oculatus (spotted gar). RNAcentral's name for it is "lncRNA (ENSLOCG00000023121.1)". The record is from RNAcentral. Lineage: Eukaryota; Metazoa; Chordata; Actinopteri; Semionotiformes; Lepisosteidae.